This 1245-nucleotide ribosomal RNA is filed under the name metagenome. Its description in RNAcentral is "bacterial LSU rRNA". It matches the Rfam family "Bacterial large subunit ribosomal RNA", at positions 1564 to 2818 of the family's 2925-position model. The record is from RNAcentral.
UGAAUACGAGACGCUAAGGCGUCGAAGUAGUGUAUGUCAUACUUCCAAGAAAAGCUUGCACUGUCAUAGAUAAAAAACGCCUGUACCAUAACCGACACAGGUGGGUAGGUAGAGUAUACUAAGGGGCGCGAGAUAACUCUCUCUAAGGAACUCGGCAAAAUAACUCCGUAACUUCGGGAGAAGGAGUGCCUUAUUCGUAAGGUUGCAAUAACAAGAUCCAAGCAACUGUUUAUCAAAAACACAGGUCUCCGCUAAGUCGUAAGACGAUGUAUGGGGGCUGACGCCUGCCCAGUGCCAGAAGGUUAAAGAAGUUGGUUAGCAAUUGCGAAGCUGAUAACUGAAGCCCUGGUGAACGGCGGCCGUAACUAUAACGGUCCUAAGGUAGCGAAAUUCCUUGUCGGGUAAGUUCCGACCCGCACGAAAGGCGUAAUGAUUUGGAUACUGUCUCGGAGAGGGGCUCGGUGAAAUAGACUUGUCUGUGAAGAUGCGGACUACCUGCACCAGGACAGAAAGACCCUAUGAAGCUUUACUGUAACUUGAAAUUGAAAUUGGACUUUAUUCGCGCAGUAUAGGUGGGAGGCGUUGAUUAUAAUCUUGUGGGAUUAUUGGAGCCAUCAGUGAGAUACCACUCUUGUAAUGUUAGAUUUCUAACUUUGAAUCAUUAUCUGGUCAAAGAACAGUUUCAGGCGGGCAGUUUGACUGGGGCGGUCGCCUCCUAAACGGUAACGGAGGCGUACAAAGGUUUCCUCUGAACGGUUAGAAAUCGUAUCUAGAGUGUAAAGGCAUAAGGAAGCUUGACUGUGAGACCUACAAGUCGAGCAGGGGCGAAAGUCGGUCUUAGUGAUCUGACGGUACUGAGUGGAAAGGCCGUCACUCAACGGAUAAAAGUUACUCUAUGGAUAACAGGCUGAUCUCCCCCAAGAGUUCACAUCGACGGGGAGGUUUGGCACCUCGAUGUCGGCUCAUCGCAUCCUGGGGCGGUAGUACGUCCCAAGGGUUGGGCUGUUCGCCCAUGAAAGCGGUACGCGAGCUGGGUUCAGAACGUCGUGAGACAGUUCGGUCCAUAUCCGGUGUAGGCGUUAGAAUAUUGAGAGGAGCCUUCUUUAGUACGAGAGGACCGAGAAGGACAUACCUCUGGUGUACCAGUUAUCGUGCCAACGGUAAACGCUGGGUAGCUAUGUAUGGAGUGGAUAACCGCUGAAAGCAUCUAAGUGGGAAGCCCACCUCAAGAUAAGUAUUCUCAUC